GCGCGCGGCCAACGGUCCCUGUGCGGGGCGGGAGCGCGCGCGUCACCAACGGUCCCUGUGCGGGGCGGGAGCGCGCGUCGGCCCACGGUCCCUGUGCGGGGCGGGAGCGCGCGCGGCCAACGAGAGCCAGAAGAUAGACACAAAAUGCUGGAGGGUGAGGCAAGAUCUCUGGAGACACAAAAACCUGGAUUAACUGCAUGAUUAUUGAUAAGUUAUUCAUUUGCCUGAUGAAACUGAUGAUGGUAAAGCUGACAUUUACUGCGUGACUCUCAUUGCACUUGAGAAGGUGAUGGUGAACCACCUUCAUGAACACCAGUUUAUGAAAAGUUGGAAAAAAUAUUGCACUGAAAUUCUAUACAUGCGAAAACAAAUUAAGUAUAUUUGGAUUCUAAUAAAAUCUGACGACUGAAAA
This is a long non-coding RNA of Leucoraja erinaceus (little skate), 412 nucleotides long. RefSeq lists it as uncharacterized. Lineage: Eukaryota; Metazoa; Chordata; Chondrichthyes; Rajiformes; Rajidae. The record is from RefSeq and is a predicted model, not a curated record. The transcript is spliced from 3 exons.